AGCUGGGGAACGGUCCGGCUGUUAAGCCUGGAAUAGUAGUUCUCCAAUCACAAUCAGACACGUAGGUGACUUAUUGUGAAAUUUUUACAUCUACAGACACUCGAUCAUUUUCAUUACACCUUCCUCACACUUGUAUUCAUGUGCCCUUUCUAUUUUCCUGAGGAACCUCGACGGACUCAACAUCCCGCAUGGCGCUCGACCCAAACGGUGGUGAAGCUCGACCCAGACAGUGGUGUAGCUCGACCUAGAUGA
Molecule: long non-coding RNA, 252 nt
Organism: Juglans microcarpa x Juglans regia
Lineage: Eukaryota; Viridiplantae; Streptophyta; Magnoliopsida; Fagales; Juglandaceae
Exons: 3
Source: RefSeq, a predicted model, not a curated record